UACGUAGGGGGCAAGCGUUACUCGGAAUUACUGGGCGUAAAGCGUGCGCAGGCGGACGAGAAAGUCAGAGGUGAAAUCCCACGGCUCAACCGUGGAACUGCCUCAGAUACUGACGGCCUCGAGGGAGGUAGGGGCGAGCGGAACGGGUGGUGGAGCGGUGAAAUGCGUUGAUAUCACUCGGAACUCCGGUGGCGAAAGCGGCUCGCUGGACCUUUUCUGACGCUGAGGCGCGAAAGCUAGGGGAGCAAACGGG
This 253-nucleotide ribosomal RNA is filed under the name uncultured bacterium. RNAcentral describes it as "partial 16S ribosomal RNA". It matches the Rfam family "Bacterial small subunit ribosomal RNA", at positions 524 to 776 of the family's 1533-position model. The record is from RNAcentral.